This 484-nucleotide ribosomal RNA is filed under the name uncultured bacterium. Its description in RNAcentral is "partial 16S ribosomal RNA". It matches the Rfam family "Bacterial small subunit ribosomal RNA", at positions 30 to 507 of the family's 1533-position model. The record is from RNAcentral.
AUUGAACGCUAGCGGCAGGCCUAACCCAUGCAAGUCGAGCGGAUGAAGGGAGCUUGCUCCUGGAUUCAGCGGCGGACGGGUGAGUAAUGCCUAGGAAUCUGCCUGGUAGUGGGGGAUAACGUCCGGAAACGGGCGCUAAUACCGCAUACGUCCUGAGGGAGAAAGUGGGGGAUCUUCGGACCUCACGCUAUCAGAUGAGCCUAGGUCGGAUUAGCUAGUUGGUGGGGUAAAGGCCUACCAAGGCGACGAUCCGUAACUGGUCUGAGAGGAUGAUCAGUCACACUGGAACUGAGACACGGUCCAGACUCCUACGGGAGGCAGCAGUGGGGAAUAUUGGACAAUGGGCGAAAGCCUGAUCCAGCCAUGCCGCGUGUGUGAAGAAGGUCUUCGGAUUGUAAAGCACUUUAAGUUGGGAGGAAGGGCAGUAAGUUAAUACCUUGCUGUUUUGACGUUACCAACAGAAUAAGCACCGGCUAACUUCGUG